GGUUCUGUGACCUAAUGGAUAAGGCAUCAGCUUCCAGAGUUAGGGAUUAUGGGUUUAAGUCCCAUUUGGGUUG
Pangasianodon gigas (Mekong giant catfish) is the source of this 73-nucleotide non-coding RNA. The record is from the annotation of a GenBank genome assembly. NCBI's taxonomy places the organism in Eukaryota, Metazoa, Chordata, Actinopteri, Siluriformes, Pangasiidae.